This 253-nucleotide ribosomal RNA is filed under the name uncultured bacterium. RNAcentral describes it as "partial 16S ribosomal RNA". It matches the Rfam family "Bacterial small subunit ribosomal RNA", at positions 524 to 776 of the family's 1533-position model. The record is from RNAcentral.
UACGUAGGGUGCGAGCGUUAAUCGGAAUUACUGGGCGUAAAGCGUGCGCAGGCGGCUCUUCAAGUCAGGUGUGAAAGCCCCGGGCUUAACCUGGGAAUUGCGCUUGAAACUGGGGGGCUGGAGUGUGGCAGAGGGAGGUGGAAUUCCUGGUGUAGCGGUGAAAUGCGUAGAUAUCAGGAGGAACACCGAUGGCGAAGGCAGCCUCCUGGGCCAACACUGACGCUCAGGCACGAAAGCGUGGGGAGCAAACAGG